GGAGCGGUAGUUCAGUUGGUUAGAAUACCGGCCUGUCACGCCGGGGGUCGCGGGUUCGAGCCCCGUCCGCUCCGCCA
RNAcentral lists this transfer RNA (77 nucleotides) under Methylophilus methylotrophus. Its description in RNAcentral is "tRNA-Asp". It matches the Rfam family "tRNA". Rfam says of the family: Transfer RNA (tRNA) molecules are approximately 80 nucleotides in length. RNAcentral also lists the same sequence under 1089 other names. The record is from RNAcentral. Lineage: Bacteria; Pseudomonadati; Pseudomonadota; Betaproteobacteria; Nitrosomonadales; Methylophilaceae.